RNAcentral lists this ribosomal RNA (253 nucleotides) under uncultured bacterium. RNAcentral describes it as "partial 16S ribosomal RNA". It matches the Rfam family "Bacterial small subunit ribosomal RNA", at positions 524 to 776 of the family's 1533-position model. The record is from RNAcentral.
GACGAACCGAGCGAACGUUAUUCGGAAUCACUGGGCUUAAAGGGCGCGUAGGCGGGCCGGCAAGUCAGGGGUGAAAGCCCCCAGCUCAACUGGGGAAGUGCCUCUGAUACUGCCGGCCUCGAGGGAGGUAGGGGCGUGCGGAACUUCCGGUGGAGCGGUGAAAUGCGUAGAUAUCGGAAGGAACACCGGUGGCGAAAGCGGCGCGCUGGACCUCUUCUGACGAUGAGGCGCGAAAGCCAGGGGAGCAAACGGG